UUGACUUCUCUUUCUUCAUGAAAUAUGUCCAAGUUCAUGGCAAUUCACUCUCAUUCUCUAUGCGUGUCAAAAACCCAGAUAACUUGAUUGACAAUUGUCUAAAUUCUCCAUCUUCUUCCAUGACUCACCAUGUUAAGAAAUUCCUAUAAAUAGCCAUUGAAAAUCCAAUGUUCUUCAAGCUAUAAACCAAUUAAUAUUCUGAUUUUAUUUAAUUACAAGCUUAAUUUGUUUGCCCUCUCUAUUUAUUUCCUUGAUUUUUCACCAUUAAUGGACACCCAUUUUCUCUCUCCUCCGUUCUACCACCGCGGAGCCACCCAUUGGCCACCGCCGAGCCACCACCUUCUGCCGUCAAAUCCAGCCACCACCUCCAACUCGGUGCCACCUGCUUCCUGUUGCCGAGUCCACCUUGCCGGCAACAUCUCUGGUUGAUGUUGCACCGUGUUGUUGCUGCUAUUAUGCCUUCAAUUGUCUCUUAUUAUGUAAGCUUCUUCCCUGGUUCCAAUUUUCCAAAGACCCAAAUUAUAAUAUGAGCUCUAAAUAUGUUAAAAGCCCAUUUUAUUGUUUUUUUUUAAAAAGCCCAAAAGUUUCUUAAUUCCUACUAUUACAUGUUUCUUAUUCAUUUGAUACCAAAGUUUUAAAUUUUAUUUUACAAAAGCUAAACUAAGAUUUCUACCAUUACUCAUUUACUCCAUAAGGAGCACCAUUUAUAAAAAGGGUUGUCUAUUCUUAAGAAUGUGUAGUAUUUUGGAUACAUGUGUUUUAGUAAAGAGUGAUAAUUCUAUUGUUAUGAUUCUAUUACGGGGCAUUGAGAAUGGUUGAAAGUGAUGGAACUUAUGAAAUAUCGGUUACCGGAGUCUAAGUAAGCAGUUAAGGAAAAACAAUCGAGGUUCGAUUAAGGAGCUAGAGUUGCUCAAGACGAAAGUUAUUACUGGAGUUAAUAUUUUAUUAUGGAGAUAUCGAGAUGAGACAUUAUUUAUUAUGGAAAUCCUGUUACUGAGGUUGUUAUAAGAAUAUUGAUUUAUAAUUAUUUUUGGAAAAGUUGUAUUAUUUAUGAAAUGUUAUUAAGGAUUAUUUUAUUUGUGGGCCCAUACCCACGGGUCCCAUGAUUAAUUAUGUCUAAUUCCGCUGCUAAUGAUCAGUUAAGUACGGUUUAUUACCGAUAUUUAAGGUACCAAAAAGUCGGGACGUUAUAGUAUGGUAUCAGAGCGGAGCCCAGCCGGAAGUGCUCAGCACUGCCUGGGUAUGAUCUUUGGGAUAUGAUAAUGUUUUGAGGUUUUAACAGCUAUUUGGGAUAUUGAUGUUAAGUUAUGAGAAUAAGUGUUUUAAGAGAAGUGAGUAAUAUUUUUGGGUUGUUAAAAGAGUAUGUCAUAGUGUGAGUGUCUGAGUUUAGACUGAUCUUAAGUUUUGAGAUAUCCAGUUUCGAGUACGAAACUUUUUCUAAGAGGGUAAGGAUGUAACACCCCGUAUUUUUAAGCCUCUUUUAUUAUUCUGUAAUUAUGAUUAUUAUCGUAAUUACGUCCUAAAUUUUUCCGAUCUAUUUUUAAUUAUCGUAUUAUGUCUACCUUUUUGUUGUGACAUAAUACCAAUUAAUUGAGCCCAACUAUUUUUGUACAAGCCCAUUUCAUUACUCCAAAAUCUGAUUUUAUUCUUUGAUGUGGAAAUUACAUUUUUGCCCUUAAAAUGUUAAAAUUCCAAUUGUCUUCUUCCCCAUCUUCUUUAUACGUGUAAUUUCCAUGAAAGAGCUUGGUGGCAAGUAUUUUGACUUCUCUUUGCUUCAAGUAUUCUGUCUGUAGGCAAUUGGCUUCUAUGCGUGGCAAAAGACUAACAUUUUGAUUGCCAAAUGUCCAAAUUUUUCCUCUUCUUCAAUGACUCACCAUGACAAGAAAUUCCUAUAAAUAGCCAUUGAAACCCCCUUGUUCUUCAAGCUCAAAACUCAAUUAAUAUUUCUGAUUAUAUUUCCAAAGUUUGAUUUAUUUCCCCUCUCUAUUUUUCCUUGUGCAAAUUCAAGAAAUCAUUGAUAUCUACCUAUUUUCUCUCUCCUCCCUUCGACCACCGCGGCACCGCCGCUACUGCAACCACCUUGGUCGGCGAGUCCUUCCUUCGUCGCCUCAGACCACCUCCAUGAACCCGACACCACCUUCUGUCGUCGCCGGAAGUCGCGUCUCUGUUGAAGCAUGAGUUACUGUUUUUGUGUGGGUUUCAUUUCACCUUGCUUCCUUUGAUUUUGCUGAUAGUUAUACCAAAAUGCCAAUAAAGUAUAAAUGGGGUAUAAAUAAGUGGGCCUUGAAUCCAUGAUGGAGUAUUAUUUAUGGGCUAAAGUCAACUAUUUUCCUGGUGGGUUUCGGUUACAAGGGCAAGCAAAGUUAAGUAAGUAAUUUGAUUUUAUUAAGGUUGCCUAUUUAAGUUUAAUGAGUAACCAUUCCUAAUUAUGGGUUUUUAUUGUUAUUAUGGAGAAAUUGGGCUUAUCAAAUAAAACGUUUGGUGGGUUAUGGAAGAUACGUUUUGGAGUAUAAAGAUAUAGUCACUUUAAGGUUAUGGUGAUCGAGGUAAUUUUUAUGUCCAGCACCUAUAUAUAUGCCUGUAUAAUAUUUUAAGGUGUAAUUAUUAUGUCUAGCAUUUUAGCCUCAUGCCCUCGUAUGUGUUACGUAAUUUUUAUGUCCAACACUUAUAUUUAUGCCCGUAUAAUGUUUUAAGGCGUAAUACUUAUGUCCAGCAAUUAUAUUUAUGUGCCCGUAUAUAAAAGUAUUAUAUUAUGUUAUUAUAACUAUUAUGUCCAACAUUUAAGCUUUACAUGCCCGUAUAUGAAAUGUGUGACUAUUAUGUGAUUAUAUGUUUAUUAUGUGUUUUAUGUGAUAAAUGAUGAUAUAUGUUUUUAUGAUUAUGAUCAUGAUGUUAAAGACGUUGUUCGAAAAUAAUGAAGAUAUUUAUAAAGUGAUUUUAAAGAAAGACGAUGUUGCUUUUGUCGGCAUGGAAAAGUGAACUGAACUAGCAGGUGGAGACAAGUUACAGGUGGAGACAAGUUACAGGUGGAGGCAAGUUAAAGUUAAAGUUAAAGUUUGGGAAACAGUUCCCCCCCCCUGAAAAGAUGUAAGAAAAAGUUCUGCCAAAUCCUGUACUUGCCAAUGAGCUGUAAAGGAAAUGAUUCCUUGCCGACACAGUUUUCAAGAUAACGAGAUUAAGUUAGUUAUUUCCGAACAAUAAAUGCUAAAGAUUGACAUGUGCCAAGUGAUUUUCAAAAUAAAACUGUUUUAACGGGCUGGAGUAAUAUUACUGAGUUUUCCACUCAUUUUUGGCAUUUUUCUAUGUUUUUCCUGUUUUCUAUUUUUAUGAUGAUGUACAGGUUCGGUUAAGGAGCUAGAGUUGCUCAAGACGAAAGUUAUUACUAGAGUCAAUAUUUUAUUAUGGAGAUAUCGAGAUGAGAAAUUAUUUAUUAUGGAAAUCCUAUUACUGAGGUUGUUAUAAGAAUAUUGAUUUAUAAUUAUUUUUGGGAAAGUGGUAUUAUUUAUGGAAUGUUAUUAAGGAUUAUUUUAUUUGUGGGCCCAUACCCACAGGUCCCAGGA
Molecule: long non-coding RNA, 3560 nt
Organism: Spinacia oleracea (spinach)
Lineage: Eukaryota; Viridiplantae; Streptophyta; Magnoliopsida; Caryophyllales; Amaranthaceae
Exons: 2
Source: RefSeq, a predicted model, not a curated record